AAAAUUAAUUUAUAAAUUAAAAAAAAAUAACGUAUAUAAAGGAUGUCUUGGUAACUAUAGGCGAUGACAGACGCUAAAAUGCGAUAAUCUUUGUAAAAGGUAUCUUAAUGGGGUAACCUACUAAUAUUAAUUAGUGUAAAACGCAAACUGGAUGAACUGAAACAUCUAAGUAAUCCAAGGAAAAGAAAUCAAAUGAGAUUCCCACAGUAGUGGCGAGCGAAAUGGGAGAAGCCCAAAAUAUAUAUUUAAACGAAAAUAAUAUAGUUUUGAAUAACUAACAUAAAAAGUAAUAGUCUUUUUUUAUUUUUUGUUUUAUAUUUUUAUUAUGAGUAUGUUUAGACACGUAGUAUCUUAACAGAAUAUAGGGGGACCAUCCUCUAAGGCUAAAUACUAAUAGUUAUCCGAUAGUGAACUAGUACCGUGAGGGAAAGAUGAAAUAGAACCUUUUUAUAGGAGUGAAAUAGAACCUAAAAUUAUAUACGUAAAAGCAAUAGAAGCUGAAAAGCAACUAUAUACCUUUUGUAUAAUGGGUCAGCGACUUAUUAUUUUUAGCAAGCUUAAUUAUUAGUAGGCGUAGAGAAAUCAAGUUUGAAAGAGCGAUAGUUAAAAAUAAUAGACCCGAAACCGAGCGAUCUAUCCAUGAACAGGUUGAAGGUAAUAUAAUCAUUACUGGAGGACCGAACUGGUAUCUGUUGCAAAAGAUUCAGAUGAUUUGUGGAUAGGGGUGAAAGGCUAAUCAAGCUCGGAGAUAGCUGGUUCUCCUCGAAAGCUAUUUAGGUAGCGUCUUAUAAGUGAAAACUAAUGGUAAAGCACUGUAUUUGAUUAAGUUUAUCUGAAUCAUAACAAACUAUGAAUAUUUGUUUUUUUAUUAUAAGAAACACACAAUGGGUGCUAACAUCCAUUGUGAAAAGGGAAACAACCCAGAUCAUAAAUUAAGGUCCCUAAAUCUUAUUUAAGUGGAAAAUGAAUUUUAAUAAUCUUUGACAAUCAAAAGGUGGGCUUAGAAGCAGCCAUCCUUUAAAGAAAGCGUAAUAGCUCAUUGAUAUAGAUGAUUAAUUCGAAAAAUUUAACGGGGCUAAAAUAAGUACCGAAAUUAUGAACAUUAUUUUUGUGGUAGAGGAGCGUUGUGUAAAUCAAAGAAGAUUUAUUAUAAAAUAAAUUGGAGAUAUCACAAGUGCGAAUGCUGACAUAAGUAACAAUAUGAAACGUGAGAAUCGUUUCCGCUGAAAAAUUAAGGUUUUCUAUUCAACGAUGAUCGAAAUAGAGUUAGUCGUAACCUAAGACGAGGUUGAAAAACGUAGUCGAUGGUAAGAGGAUUAAUAUUUCCUCACCAUUAAUAUUAGUAAUGGAAUGGUUUGAUUUGUUUUAUAAUCCUAAAAAAGGUAUAUUAGGUUUAAUAUUAAAAGAAUAAAUAAUCAAGCAAAUCUAAUUAUUUUUUUUAAUUAAUUAAAUAAAAUUAUUAAAAUUAUAUCAACAAGAAAAAUUUCUAACAUAAUAAUAUUAAUGUACGUACCGUAAACCGACACAGGUAAUUAAGUAGAGAAUACUAAAGCGUUUGAGAUAAUCUAAAUGAAGGAACUAGGCAAAAUAGUAUCGUAACUUUUGGAGAAGAUACACUAGAUUAUUUAUAAAAUUUUUUAUAGAGAACUAGUCUAAGAGGUAAGGUGGCUGCAACUGUUUAUUAAAAACACAGCACUCUGCUAACGUGUAAACGGAUGUAUAGGGUGUGACGCCUGCCCGGUGCUGGUAGGUUAAUUGAAAAUGUUAAUUUAAAAAUAAAGCAUUUAAUAAAAGCCCCAGUAAACGGCGGCCGUAACUAUAACGGUCCUAAGGUAGCGAAAUUCCUUGUCGGGUAAGUUCCGACCUGCACGAAUGGCGUAAUGAUGGCCACGCUGUCUCCAUUUAGAACUCAGUGAAAUUGAAAUUGCUGUGAAGAUGCAGUGUAUCUACGGCUAGACGGAAAGACCCCGUGAACCUUUACUAUAACCUCACAUUGAAUAUUGGUGAUUUUUGUGUAGGAUAGCUGGGAGAUGUUGAUAUUUAAACGCCAGUUUAAAAGUAAUCGUUCUUGAAAUACCAGUCUAAAAUUAUUGAUAUUCUAAUUUAUUUUGUAAUCCAUUAUAUUAAAAGUGUGUGGCGGGUAGUUUGACUGGGGCGGUCUCCUCCUAAAAAGUAACGGAGGAGUACAAAGGUACCCUCAAUACGUUUGGAAAUCGUAUGUUGAGCAUAAGAGCAUAUGGGUGCUUAACUGUAAGAUAGACAUAUCAAACAGAUACGAAAGUAGGUUCUAGUGAUCCGAUAAUUCUGUAUGGAAAGGUUAUCGCUCAACGGAUAAAAGGUACUCCGGGGAUAACAGGCUAAUAUUGCCCAAGAGUUCAUAUCGACGGCAAUGUUUGGCACCUCGAUGUCGGCUCAUCACAUCCUGGAGCUGGAGUUGGUUCCAAGGGUAUGGCUGUUCGCCAUUUAAAGUGGUACGCGAGCUGGGUUUAGAACGUCGUGAGACAGUUCGGUCCCUAUCUACCGUAGAUGUAGAGAUUUUGAAAGAAUCUGUCUUUAGUACGAGAGGACCAAGACGGUUAAACCAAUGGUGGUCCGGUUGUCAUGCCAAUGGCAUAGCCGGUUAACUAAGUUUAAAAUGAUAACUACUGAAAGCAUAUAAGUAGGAAGCAUAUCUUAAAAUAAAUCUCCUUUGAGUUUGUUGCUCUUCUUAAGAUAACUUAAAAAACAUAAGUUUAAUAGAUAUGAUGUGUAAAAAUAGCAAUAUUUUAGCUAACAUAUACUAAUUUAUCGUGAGUUUUUAAUUUAUA
This 2807-nucleotide ribosomal RNA is filed under the name Candidatus Carsonella ruddii. RNAcentral describes it as "bacterial LSU rRNA". It matches the Rfam family "Bacterial large subunit ribosomal RNA". Lineage: Bacteria; Pseudomonadati; Pseudomonadota; Gammaproteobacteria; Oceanospirillales; Halomonadaceae. The record is from RNAcentral.